AGGUCUCUUCGUGUCCUCUCUUCAUCGCCUCUGUUUUAUGAAACCCUAGAGAUCACUUGUAAACUUAUAUGUCACGUAAGUGGAAAAUUAGGUUGUCUUUCUCGGGCCUACAAAUUAGAAAAGCCCAAGUUUUUGUAGGCGAUACGAAAAGUCAACGCUAAUGAUUACUUUCCUUGUUCCAAGAAUAUGGGAACAUGACCCAUGCCCGUUUCUCCACUUUCUUCAGUGUAGGAACUUAAUAGUUCCAAGCUUUCUCCUUCGUAA
Arabidopsis thaliana (thale cress) is the source of this 264-nucleotide long non-coding RNA. RefSeq annotates it as other RNA. NCBI's taxonomy places the organism in Eukaryota, Viridiplantae, Streptophyta, Magnoliopsida, Brassicales, Brassicaceae. The transcript has a single exon. The record is from RefSeq.